GGAAGUAGGUCAGUGGUAGAUCACUUGCCUGGCAUGCACAAGACCCUGGGUUUAAUCCCCAAUACUGCCA
Molecule: transfer RNA, 70 nt
Filed under: Marmota monax (woodchuck)
Lineage: Eukaryota; Metazoa; Chordata; Mammalia; Rodentia; Sciuridae
Rfam family: tRNA
About the family: Transfer RNA (tRNA) molecules are approximately 80 nucleotides in length. Their secondary structure includes four short double-helical elements and three loops (D, anti-codon, and T loops). Further hydrogen bonds mediate the characteristic L-shaped molecular structure. tRNAs have two regions of fundamental functional importance: the anti-codon, which is responsible for specific mRNA codon recognition, and the 3' end, to which the tRNAs corresponding amino acid is attached (by aminoacyl-tRNA synthetases). tRNAs cope with the degeneracy of the genetic code in two manners: having more than one tRNA (with a specific anti-codon) for a particular amino acid; and 'wobble' base-pairing, i.e. permitting non-standard base-pairing at the 3rd anti-codon position.
Source: Rfam by way of RNAcentral